UCGAUCUCAAAUCAGGUAGGAUUACCCGCUGAACUUAAGCAUAUCAAUAAGCGGAGGAAAAGAAACUAACAAGGAUUCCCCUAGUAACUGCGAGUGAAGCGGGAAGAGCUCAAAUUUAAAAUCCGGCGUGCCUUUGGUCGUCCGAGUUGUAGUCUGGAGAAGCGUCUUCCGUGUUGGACCGUGUACAAGUCUCUUGGAACAGGGCGUCAUAGAGGGUGAGAAUCCCGUCUUUGACACGGACUACCAAUGCUUUGUGAUGCGCUCUCAAAGAGUCGAGUUGUUUGGGAAUGCAGCUCAAAAUGGGUGGUAAAUUCCAUCUAAAGCUAAAUACAGGCGAGAGACCGAUAGCGAACAAGUACCGUGAGGGAAAGAUGAAAAGCACUUUGGAAAGAGAGUUAAACAGUACGUGAAAUUGCUGAAAGGGAAACGCUUGAAGUCAGUCAUGUCUGCCGGGACUCA
Molecule: ribosomal RNA, 459 nt
Filed under: uncultured fungus
Lineage: Eukaryota; Fungi
Description: eukaryotic LSU rRNA
Rfam family: Eukaryotic large subunit ribosomal RNA
Source: RNAcentral